AAUGAACGCUGGCGGCGUGCUUUACACAUGCAAGUCGAGCGAGGCCACCCGCAAGGGUGAGUCGAGCGGCGAACGGGUGAGGAAUACAUGGGUAACCUACCCUAGAGUGGGGAAUAACUAGCCGAAGGUUAGCUAAUACCGCGUACGCUCCUUGGACUUCGGUUCAGGGAGGAAAGCGAUGCCGAGGGUAUCGCGCUCUUGGAUGGGCUCAUGUCCUAUCAGCUUGUUGGGAGGUAACGGCUCACCAAGGCUUCGACGGGUAGCUGGUCUGAGAGGACGAUCAGCCACACUGGCACUGAGACACGGCCCAGACUCCUACGGGAGGCAGCAGUGGGAAUCUUGCGCAAUGCGCGAAAGCGUGACGCAGCAACGCCGCGU
RNAcentral lists this ribosomal RNA (378 nucleotides) under uncultured bacterium. Its description in RNAcentral is "bacterial SSU rRNA". It matches the Rfam family "Bacterial small subunit ribosomal RNA", at positions 29 to 402 of the family's 1533-position model. The record is from RNAcentral.